RNAcentral lists this ribosomal RNA (516 nucleotides) under uncultured Glomus. RNAcentral describes it as "SSU rRNA". It matches the Rfam family "Eukaryotic small subunit ribosomal RNA", at positions 569 to 1087 of the family's 1831-position model. The record is from RNAcentral. Lineage: Eukaryota; Fungi; Glomeromycota; Glomeromycetes; Glomerales; Glomeraceae.
AGCAGCCGCGGUAAUUCCAGCUCCAAUAGCGUAUAUUAAAGUUGUUGCAGUUAAAAAGCUCGUAGUUGAAUUUCGGGGUUAGUAGGUUGGUCAUGCCUCUAGUAUGUACUGGUCUCACUGAUUCCUCCUUCCUGAUGAACCUUAAUGCCAUUUAUUUGGUGUUUUGGGGAAUUUGGACUGUUACUUUGAAAAAAUUAGAGUGUUUAAAGCAAGCUAACGCUUGAAUACAUUAGCAUGGAAUAAUGAAAUAGGGCGUUCGAUCCUAUUUUGUUGGUUUCUAGGAUUGACGUAAUGAUUAAUAGGGAUAGUUGGGGGCAUUAGUACUCAAUUGUCAGAGGUGAAAUUCUUGGAUUUAUUGAAGACUAACUACUGCGAAAGCAUUUGCCAAGGAUGUUUUCAUUAAUCAAGAACGAAAGUUAGGGGAUCGAAGACGAUCAGAUACCGUCGUAGUCUUAACCAUAAACUAUGCCGACUAGGGAUCGGAUGAUGUUAAUUUUUAAUGACUCAUUCGGCGCC